Dunckerocampus dactyliophorus (ringed pipefish) is the source of this 790-nucleotide long non-coding RNA. RefSeq lists it as uncharacterized. NCBI's taxonomy places the organism in Eukaryota, Metazoa, Chordata, Actinopteri, Syngnathiformes, Syngnathidae. The record is from RefSeq and is a predicted model, not a curated record. The transcript is spliced from 3 exons.
ACAGCGGCACACUACUUCCUGCUCAUGUCAAAGCUUUAGGGCUCCACUACGGAUAUUUUAGCUGCAAAACGUUAGGAUGAGAAAACAAAAGCCACAAAAGACACAAAGCCACACUAAAUGGACAAAACUAUUGGGACUCAUGGACCACUUUUCAACUGGAAGACUAUCUAUGGACCAUCUAUGAAGCCCUCUGUUCCCUGGCUUCCUCCAUCCAUCCGCCUUGAGGUUGCAGGUAGCUGGCCAAGUGGAACAGGAUUAGAACGCUGCCACGUGUCAAGAGGAGAGGUGGGGGGGAAGCAAAGCAGCACGAGGAGAGACAAAGACUGGUGAAUAGAUUUACUGGAGGUACGGAACAUUAAAGACUGUUCUGAACAUAAAUGACCUGAACCGAUGUUGAAGUGUGAAGGGAUGAGGCAUAAAACAAACAAGUUGUUAAGAUGUGUCCAAAAGUAUCAUGAAAAAGGACUGUUAAAUUAAUGGAAGAAAGCUGCCACUUUACAAAGAUUCCACUGUCAGUGACCUCAUGCUUCAAAAAUGGUAGACCUUAAGUCUGAACAUGAAUGUACCUCAAACAUACUCAAUGCUGUCUUCAGUCUUUGCAAAAACAUAUUCUACAUUCAUUGAGGACUCUACAGUAAAUUGUCUUCUGUCUUUACGAAAUCCUGUAUGUCAUAAUUGUUAAAGGGGCCCUAUCCUGCCCAUUUCAGGGGCUUUUAAAAAUGAUAUGGGAUCCCAGUGGGACACUAUUGUAAGUUUCUUGAAUCCAUGAGUUCUGCAUUCUUCUCCUCUU